This 105-nucleotide small RNA is filed under the name bovine gut metagenome. RNAcentral describes it as "RT-5 RNA". It matches the Rfam family "RT-5 RNA". From Rfam's summary of the family: Clostridium (Firmicutes). Environment (Cow rumen (57)) The record is from RNAcentral. RNAcentral also lists the same sequence under 1 other name.
UUGCGCCUGCGGCGGAUAAGGCACGGUACUUUUAAGCGCUUCACAGGCAGCCGUACCGUGUACGAUCUUGUAAAUCCAAGAAUUUUCUUGGAUUUAAUGUUUUCU